GUGCAAAGGUAGCAUAAUCAUUUGCUUUUUAAUUGAAGGCCAGUAUGAAAGGACACACAAGGAUAAAACUGUCUCUCUUAAAUUAAAUAUAAACUGAUAAUUAGGUGAAGAAGCCUAAAUUAUAAUAAAGGACAAAAAGACCCUAUAGAGCUUUACUGGCUAGAGUAUUAUACUCAAUAUCAGGUUGGUUGGGACAACCAAAAGACAUUAUCACCUCUUUUUAAAAUUAUAAAAUACUUACCCAAUAAUGUAUAAAAAAUAGCUACCUUAGGGAUAACAGGCUAAUCCCACUAGAGAGAUCACAUUGACAGUGGGGGUUGGCACCUCGAUGUUGGCUUAGUGUAACUAUUAGGCGCAGUCGCCUAAUAAGUUGGUUUGUUCAACCAUUAAAUCACUACGUGAUC
This 404-nucleotide ribosomal RNA is filed under the name Platynereis agilis. RNAcentral's name for it is "partial 16S ribosomal RNA". It matches the Rfam family "Bacterial large subunit ribosomal RNA", at positions 1948 to 2605 of the family's 2925-position model. The record is from RNAcentral. Lineage: Eukaryota; Metazoa; Annelida; Polychaeta; Phyllodocida; Nereididae.